RNAcentral lists this transfer RNA (74 nucleotides) under Methanoregula sp. SKADARSKE-2. RNAcentral describes it as "tRNA-Gln". It matches the Rfam family "tRNA". From Rfam's summary of the family: Transfer RNA (tRNA) molecules are approximately 80 nucleotides in length. Their secondary structure includes four short double-helical elements and three loops (D, anti-codon, and T loops). The record is from RNAcentral. Lineage: Archaea; Methanobacteriati; Methanobacteriota; Methanomicrobia; Methanomicrobiales; Methanoregulaceae.
AGCCCGGUAGUGUAGCGGUCAAUCAUGGGGGACUCUGGAUCCCCCGACAGCAGUUCGAAUCUGCUCCGGGCUAC